AUUGAGCGCUGGCGGCAGGCCUAACACAUGCAAGUCGAGCGGAUGAAGGGAGCUUGCUCCUGGAUUCAGCGGCGGACGGGUGAGUAAUGCCUAGGAAUCUGCCUGGUAGUGGGGGAUAACGUCCGGAAACGGGCGCUAAUACCGCAUACGUCCUGAGGGAGAAAGUGGGGGAUCUUCGGACCUCACGCUAUCAGAUGAGCCUAGGUCGGAUUAGCUAGUUGGUGGGGUAAAGGCCUACCAAGGCGACGAUCCGUAACUGGUCUGAGAGGAUGAUCAGUCACACUGGAACUGAGACACGGUCCAGACUCCUACGGGAGGCAGCAGUGGGGAAUAUUGGACAAUGGGCGAAAGCCUGAUCCAGCCAUGCCGCGUGUGUGAAGAAGGUCUUCGGAUUGUAAAGCACUCUAAGUUGGGAGGAAGGGCAGUAAGUUAAUACCUUGCUGUUUUGACGUUACCAACAGAAUAAGCACCGGCUAACUUCGUG
Molecule: ribosomal RNA, 484 nt
Filed under: uncultured bacterium
Lineage: Bacteria
Description: partial 16S ribosomal RNA
Rfam family: Bacterial small subunit ribosomal RNA
Source: RNAcentral